This 301-nucleotide ribosomal RNA is filed under the name uncultured bacterium. Its description in RNAcentral is "partial 16S ribosomal RNA". It matches the Rfam family "Bacterial small subunit ribosomal RNA", at positions 509 to 807 of the family's 1533-position model. The record is from RNAcentral.
CAGCAGCCACGGGAAUACGAAGGGUGCAAGCGCUACUCGGAAUUACUGGGCGUAAAGCGUGUGUAGGUGGUUGUUUAAGUCUGUCGUGAAAGCCCUGGGCUCAACCUGGGAAUUGCGAUGGAUACUGGGCAACUAGAGUGCGGUAGAGGAUAGUGGAAUUUCCGGUGUAGCAGUGAAAAGCGUAGAGAUCUGGAGGAACACCUGUGGCGAAAGCGGCUCACUGGACCAUAACUGACGCUGAUGCACGAAAGCUAGGGGAGCAAACAGGAUUAGAUACCCCUGUAGUCCCUGUCUCUUAUAC